Molecule: ribosomal RNA, 500 nt
Filed under: uncultured bacterium
Lineage: Bacteria
Description: bacterial SSU rRNA
Rfam family: Bacterial small subunit ribosomal RNA
Source: RNAcentral
AUUGAACGCUGGCGGAAUGCUUUACACAUGCAAGUCGAGCGGUAGAGAGGUGCUUGCAUCUCUUGAGAGCGGCGGACGGGUGAGUAAUGCCUAGGAAUCUGCCUGGUGGUGGGGGAUAACGUUCGGAAACGGACGCUAAUACCGCAUACGUCCUACGGGAGAAAGCGGGGGAUCUUCGGACCUCGCGCCAUUAGAUGGGCCUAGGUCGGAUUAGCUAGUAGGUGAGGUAAUGGCUCACCUAGGCGACGAUCCGUAACUGGUCUGAGAGGAUGAUCAGUCACACUGGAACUGAGACACGGUCCAGACUCCUACGGGAGGCAGCAGUGGGGAAUAUUGGACAAUGGGCGAAAGCCUGAUCCAGCCAUGCCGCGUGUGUGAAGAAGGUCUUCGGAUUGUAAAGCACUUUAAGUUGGGAGGGAAGGGUAGGUAACCUAAUACGUUGCUACUUUGACGUUACCGACAGAAUAAGCACCGGCUAACUUCGUGCCAGCAGCCGACGG